CGUGUGCUUACAAGUAGUCAGAGCCCGUUAAUGGGUGAUGGCGUGCCUUUUGUAGAAUGAACCGGCGAGUUACGAUUUGAUGCAAGGUUAAGCAGUAAAUGUGGAGCCGUAGCGAAAGCGAGUCUGAAUAGGGCGUUUAGUAUUUGGUCGUAGACCCGAAACCAGGUGAUCUACCCUUGGUCAGGUUGAAGUUCAGGUAACACUGAAUGGAGGACCGAACCGACUUACGUUGAAAAGUGAGCGGAUGAACUGAGGGUAGCGGAGAAAUUCCAAUCGAACCUGGAGAUAGCUGGUUCUCUCCGAAAUAGCUUUAGGGCUAGCCUCAAGUGAUGAUUAUUGGAGGUAGAGCACUGUUUGGACGAGGGGCCCCUCUCGGGUUACCGAAUUCAGACAAACUCCGAAUGCCAAUUAAUUUAACUUGGGAGUCAGAACAUGGGUGAUAAGGUCCGUGUUCGAAAGGGAAACAGCCCAGACCACCAGCUAAGGUCCCAAAAUAUAUGUUAAGUGGAAAAGGAUGUGGCGUUGCCCAGACAACUAGGAUGUUGGCUUAGAAGCAGCCAUCAUUUAAAGAGUGCGUAAUAGCUCACUAGUCGAGUGACACUGCGC
RNAcentral lists this ribosomal RNA (606 nucleotides) under Staphylococcus aureus. RNAcentral describes it as "partial 23S ribosomal RNA". It matches the Rfam family "Bacterial large subunit ribosomal RNA", at positions 557 to 1164 of the family's 2925-position model. Lineage: Bacteria; Bacillati; Bacillota; Bacilli; Caryophanales; Staphylococcaceae. The record is from RNAcentral.